UAAGAGCAAGUCCAACACUAUGCUAAGGGGUUCCCUAAAAAUAUUAUAAAAUAAUAUGUCUUAGUGAUUUAGCACAAGAUUUAGCACAUGAGCUCCAAUGGUACUCCCUAUAUUCAUUCCCUAUUAUUAUAAUAAUAUUAAAUUUAAACAACUUUGGUGUGGAGGAGAGAGGGAAAUGAUGUGAAGAAGAGAGAGAAAUGAAUAUUUUAAUGAUAAAAAUAGUU
This 224-nucleotide long non-coding RNA is filed under the name Daucus carota (carrot). RNAcentral's name for it is "long non-coding RNA (DCAR_LNC004286)". The record is from RNAcentral. Lineage: Eukaryota; Viridiplantae; Streptophyta; Magnoliopsida; Apiales; Apiaceae.